UGGGGAAUAUUGGACAAUGGGGGCAACCCUGAUCCAGCAAUGCCGCGUGUGUGAAGAAGGUCUUCGGAUUGUAAAGCACUUUCGACGGGGACGAUGAUGACGGUACCCGUAGAAGAAGCCCCGGCUAACUUCGUGCCAGCAGCCGCGGUAAUACGAAGGGGGCUAGCGUUGCUCGGAAUGACUGGGCGUAAAGGGCGUGUAGGCGGUUUACACAGUCAGAUGUGAAAUCCCCGGGCUUAACCUGGGAGCUGCAUUUGAUACGUGUAGACUAGAGUGUGAGAGAGGGUUUGUGGAAUUCC
RNAcentral lists this ribosomal RNA (299 nucleotides) under uncultured bacterium. RNAcentral describes it as "partial 16S ribosomal RNA". It matches the Rfam family "Bacterial small subunit ribosomal RNA", at positions 355 to 670 of the family's 1533-position model. The record is from RNAcentral.